RNAcentral lists this long non-coding RNA (271 nucleotides) under Cavia porcellus (domestic guinea pig). RNAcentral's name for it is "lncRNA (ENSCPOG00000031918.1)". Lineage: Eukaryota; Metazoa; Chordata; Mammalia; Rodentia; Caviidae. The record is from RNAcentral.
UGGAGAGGGAGGAGGCAGUUCACAGAAUGCUGCGUACAAGUAAACUAAGUUUCUUUCUUUCUUUUUCAUUCAUUUGUUCUUUCUUUCCUUAAAAAAGAGCAGAUGACAGAGGGCCAUUGGACUAGGACAAAAGAGAAAGCAAAACAGAGAAGCACUUGUAAGGUACCCCAGUGUCAUUCCUCUGCGCUAAGGGCUGUUUCACCCUUCAAAGAAGUAAAAUCCACCAAGAAGGACAAAAGUCAUGGAGUUAUUUUGGAAAAGUCAGUCAUGU